GACGAACGCUGGCGGCGUGCCUAAUACAUGCAAGUUGAGCGAUGAAGAUUGGUGCUUGCACCAAUUUGAAGAGCAGCGAACGGGUGAGUAACGCGUGGGGAAUCUGCCUUUGAGCGGGGGACAACAUUUGGAAACGAAUGCUAAUACCGCAUAACAACUUUAAACAUAAGUUUUAAGUUUGAAAGAUGCAAUUGCAUCACUCAAAGAUGAUCCCGCGUUGUAUUAGCUAGUUGGUGAGGUAAAGGCUCACCAAGGCGAUGAUACAUAGCCGACCUGAGAGGGUGAUCGGCCACAUUGGGACUGAGACACGGCCCAAACUCCUACGGGAGGCAGCGGUAGGGAAUCUUCGGCAAUGGACGAAAGUCUGACCGAGCAACGCCGCGUGAGUGAAGAAGGUUGUCGGAUCGUAAAACUCUGUUGGUAGAGAAGAACGUUGGUGAGAGUGGAAAGCUCAUCAAGUGACGGUAACUACCCAGAAAGGGACGGCUAACUACGUG
Molecule: ribosomal RNA, 497 nt
Filed under: uncultured bacterium
Lineage: Bacteria
Description: partial 16S ribosomal RNA
Rfam family: Bacterial small subunit ribosomal RNA
Source: RNAcentral